This 1097-nucleotide long non-coding RNA is filed under the name Heterocephalus glaber (naked mole-rat). RNAcentral describes it as "lncRNA (ENSHGLG00100050216.1)". The record is from RNAcentral. Lineage: Eukaryota; Metazoa; Chordata; Mammalia; Rodentia; Bathyergidae.
GCGGGACCGCUGCCGCCGCUGCCGCCGCUCCGGUGCCGGGUCCGGUUCCUGCUGCAGCCGCUGAGCCUGAUUUCAGAGCCGGUUUCUGCGGUGGGCCUGCCGAGAUCGCUGCCACUGGCUCACCCCAAUGCCAGGGGGUCCCUAGUCCAAGCACACAGCAUUGAAUGAAAAGGAGUCACAGGCAGCACGGAGCAAUCCAGGGUUUGGCAGUCAUCUCCCUUCUUCCCUGCUCUCAUCUCCCACUGAAAUGCAGACAUUGAAGACGACCCUUGAUGCUCACCUUUUAUGACAGCUAAUAAGUGGUAUUAAGAGUCCAGGUUCCUCAGCUGGAUCACAUCUGGUUUUUGCCAAUCUUGACACCCCAGUUUCCACCAUUUCUGUACCAACAUGAACCCUGAACAGCCACGCACUUUCAUGUCUCCAUGGCUUUCCAUGUACUAUCCCCUUCCUCCUGGAGUGUCUCCUGCUCCUGGAUUGCCUAGAAGCUCCUAUUCAUCCCUCAAAACCUAUCAUCUUAUGGGACAGACUUUCCUCAGUUCCUCUCUUCCUCCUCUAGAUAGAUUUCAUUGCUCCCUCCCAAACCAGGUAUAAUCCCAGUACUCUGGGAGGCUGGGGCAAGAGGAGCCCAAAUUCCAGCCUAGACCAAGAGAGUAUGUAAAGGUGCAUAUCUCCAAUGAUGAAUGUCAUUAUAUUAUACACCUAAAAUGUACCAAUAAAAGGAUAUACAAAAAAAAGAGAGAGAAUCCCUGGGCCCCCUGCUCAAGGAAGACCCAGUAGGAAAUUUGUUCCCAAGGAUUCUUUCCACUCUGCUCAUCCAUCAAGGCUCUCAGAGAUUGCUGCAGCCAGGGUCCAAGAGGGUCUGGCUACUGGCAGCAGUCCUUUGAGACAUUCCCAUGGUGGUAGUUUUACUGAUAUGCAGAAUGAAGAGUUGUGCAAUUAAACAGGCUUCUACUCAGACUUCAGAGGAAGGCCGGGGAGGUCAGUCAAUGAGCUCCUGAGAGGGCAGUGCAUGCAGCUGUGGGAAUGAAGCUGAAGGUGCAAUGGAGAACCCAGGAAGUUGGAGGUGCUACAAAUAUGGAAUGUCUGCCAAGACAAGC